Meriones unguiculatus (Mongolian gerbil) is the source of this 677-nucleotide non-coding RNA. The record is from the annotation of a RefSeq genome assembly. NCBI's taxonomy places the organism in Eukaryota, Metazoa, Chordata, Mammalia, Rodentia, Muridae.
AUAGCAAAGGCAAGAGACAAGGCUCAGACACUCUAAAGCUUCCAGGCUUGUGUUAGCAGCUUCACUGUUUUUAUCUGAUCAGGAACUUCUCCAGUUGACCCUUCUCCACACCUAUUUUCAAGCUCUUGCUUUCUUCAGCCACAUUCCUGCAAUCCUGUUCCAAAUCAGAGCUGCAGUCUUCACAAGGCUCAGCCAUGCGCCUGGCCAUCCUCCCAUUGCUGGCAGUACACUUUAUUCUGAGAGACACCAGUGCUCAGUCAGUGACUCAGCCUGAUGCUCAAGUCACUGUCUCUGAAGAUGCCUCUCUGCAGAUAAGAUGCAACUAUUCCUCUUCUGUGCCACCUAGCCUGUUCUGGUAUGUCCAGUACCCACGGCAGGGGCUGCAACUGCUUCUCAGCUACUACUCAGGAGACCCAGUGGUCCAUGGCAUGAAUGGCUUUGAGGCUGAGUUUAGCAAGAGCGACUCUUCUUUCAUCCUGAGGAAAGCCCGUGUGCACUGGAGCGAUUCAGCUGUGUACUUCUGUGCUCUGAGCGCACAGUGUCUGGGGCUGCAGGGGGAGCUGAACACAAACACCCAUGGCAGUGGGUACUCAUUCUCACUAUCUCCCUUCAUGGUCUUUGAAGCAUCUCUUUCUGUGGCUCUGCUUCUUUCUGGGAUGCCUGGACACCACUGGUAG